GGGGCCAUGGCUCAGUGGCAGAGCCUCUGCGUGGGAUGCAGAAGGUCCCUGGUUCAAUCCCCGGUGGCAUCU
Non-coding RNA from Gekko japonicus, 72 nucleotides. The record is from the annotation of a RefSeq genome assembly. NCBI's taxonomy places the organism in Eukaryota, Metazoa, Chordata, Lepidosauria, Squamata, Gekkonidae.